GAUGAACGCUGGCGGCGUGCCUAAUGCAUGCAAGUCGAGCGAACGGACGAGAAGCUUGCUUUUCUGAUGUUAGCGGCGGACGGGUGAGUAACACGUGGAUAACCUACCUAUAAGACUGGGAUAACUUCGGGAAACCGGAGCUAAUACCGGAUAAUAUUUUGAACCGCAUGGUUCAAAAGUGAAAGACGGUCUUGCUGUCACUUAUAGAUGGAUCCGCGCUGCAUUAGCUAGUUGGUAAGGUAACGGCUUACCAAGGCAACGAUGCAUAGCCGACCUGAGAGGGUGAUCGGCCACACUGGAACUGAGACACGGUCCAGACUCCUACGGGAGGCAGCAGUAGGGAACCUUCCGCAAUGGGCGAAAGCCUGACGGAGCAACGCCGCGUGAGUGAUGAAGGUCUUCGGAUCGUAAAACUCUGUUAUUAGGGAAGAACAUAUGUGUAAGUAACUGUGCACAUCUUGACGGUACCUAAUCAGAAAGCCACGGCUAACUACGUG
Molecule: ribosomal RNA, 497 nt
Filed under: uncultured bacterium
Lineage: Bacteria
Description: partial 16S ribosomal RNA
Rfam family: Bacterial small subunit ribosomal RNA
Source: RNAcentral